AUUGAACGCUGGCGGCAUGCUUUACACAUGCAAGUCGAACGGUAACAGGGUGCUUGCACCGCUGACGAGUGGCGAACGGGUGAGUAAUGCGUCGGAACGUGCCGAGUAGUGGGGGAUAACGCAGCGAAAGUUGUGCUAAUACCGCAUACGUACUGAGGUAGAAAGUGGGGGACCUUCGGGCCUCACGCUAUUCGAGCGGCCGACGUCUGAUUAGCUAGUAGGUGAGGUAAAGGCUCACCUAGGCGACGAUCAGUAGCGGGUCUGAGAGGAUGAACCGCCACACUGGGACUGAGACACGGCCCAGACUCCUACGGGAGGAAGCAGUGGGGAAUUUUGGACAAUGGGCGAAAGCCUGAUCCAGCCAUGCCGCGUGUCUGAAGAAGGCCUUCGGGUUGUAAAGGACUUUUGUCAGGGAGGAAAUCCCUAGUGCUAAUAACACUGGGGGAUGACAGUACCUGAAGAAUAAGCACCGGCUAACUACGUGCCAGCAGCCGCCGUAA
This 500-nucleotide ribosomal RNA is filed under the name uncultured bacterium. RNAcentral's name for it is "partial 16S ribosomal RNA". It matches the Rfam family "Bacterial small subunit ribosomal RNA", at positions 30 to 523 of the family's 1533-position model. The record is from RNAcentral.